UUAAGAUAUUUUUGAUGAAAUAUGAGAGCUUUCGUGGUACUCUCUAUAAUGGAGGAUGGUGACUUGGAGGAGAAGUCAAGAAUAAAGUCGUUAUUUUUGUUUUCUUUGCACAAAAAGUAUUCUCGUAGCUUAGUAAAAGUAUUCUCGUCACAUGGACUAUUUUACAGAUGUCCUUACUAAUGUUUCUGGACCUGGGAACAUUUCAGUUACAUUGCUGAAUGUAACUGUCAGAGGUCAGAAAGCUCUCGGAUUUAAUAAAAAAUGAAGCGUUAGUGUUAGUUCUGGCAGGUCACGUGAGUCAAGCUUGCAUCAGCUGAUCGUAUCUACCUAUAGGAAUACAACACCUAUCGCGGCAUUCCUAUAUAAGCUCUCUUCUGUAUCAAUCAGCAGCUUUUUCCGCUUGCUCAGGAGCGAAUCAGACGGCGAAUUCCAUCUCUAUGAGAAAGCUUUCAGUCAGGAAUUUUCAGGGGUUCGUUUCCCACGGAGUUCUCACCAGAUUCAACAAGUUUUUGAACUUGAACACGAAUUCGCUGCGAUUGAUAUAAGCUGAUAGAAUCGGAAGUGACCUGAGCAAGUACUACUUCUCUGUUUUUAAUAUGUUGUUUAAGGCUGUCUGAUAUGAAACAGGUUGCUACUUAAGACUCAUCUAGUAUUGGGAAUUCUAUUUCAUUAAACUUAUCCUAUUUUUAUUUCUAUUUGAUAUGCUGUUGCUUUAAUCAGUGUGCUUGAUACUUAACGGGCAGUAUGUAGAUUUUGCUACCAAAGGUUAUUAAUGCUAACGAUUAUCUGGAUAAGGGCAACAUGCUGUUGCCUAAACGUCGGGUAUUGACCAUAUGCUGUACUGCAUUAAAGGGGCAUGCUGCUCUUCUCAGUUGCUGAUUAAAGAAGAGCACCCCUUCGCUGCUUCUCUUCUUCUUAAAGGGCAUGCUGCCGCAGUCUACGCGGUUUCAGAAGGUCUUUGCUUUAAAGCUGUUAGGGUAUUGGGAUUUUGCUUGCUUUUAGGGCUUAUCUAGUAAUCAGUAUCAUGUUUGUUGCUAGACCUGCUUCUUUCUUUAAGCUAUUGGUUGUGGUACUUGGUAAAUUUGCAACAGCAAGAAGCUAAUAUUUAACCUGUUGUUAGGCCAUCUGAUUGCCAUCUCGAAAUAUGCUUGCUGCUUAUGGCUCAUCUAGUUAUUGGGACUGCCAUUUCCUUAAGUUUCUCUGACUACUGCAACAUGCUUGUUGCAAAGCUGUCAAGUGCAUUGGUCUUCACUCACGUGGGUUGUCAGAUUGAAGACACAUAACAUAACGAGCGCAAUGCCAAUGGGAGACGACAACCUGUAAACUGAUGAGUUGAUUUGAGUUAUUAUGCUGUUUCUAUAGAGUUUUUAAAUGGAUGCUGAAGCUUUUAGGCCAGGUAGAAUAUGCGAUCUCUCUCUCUCUCUCUCUCUCUCUCUCUCUCUCUCUCUCUCUCUCUCUCUCUCUCUCUCUCUCUCUGAACCGUUCAUUGCUCGCUUCUAUGGCUGCAGUACGUUUGUUUGCUGCAAAUUAGGCUGUCUUUUUUAGUGAGUCAAUUAGCUGUCAAUUUUUCUGCAUCUUUUUCAGGUAUUGCAUAAAAGGGGCUUGCUGCUCUGGGGGGUUAUUGUUGCUCUCCCUGCUCAUUCAUGACAGGCUGCAUGGAUGGGCAGGGAGUUUUUGCACAGAACAGAACCAUACCGCCAAACCAAAACUUUAUGCUAAGUAUCUAUCUUUUGACGAUAGUGGUCCUGACAGAAAUAUAUUAAUUUGUGUUCUGAAGAUGAAUGAAGGUCUUACAGGUUGGGAACGACAUGAAGGGUGAGUCAUUAAUGACAGAAUUUUCAUUUUUGGGUGAACUAUCCAUUUAAAGUAUUAGUUAGCCCAGAAAAGCACAUUUGCCAUUAAUUUACUCUCUGUCUCUGGCCAUUCAAGAAGUAGCUGAUGUUCCUUCUUCAGUAGAACAAAAGAUAAUUUUUAGCUGAACUCAUGGUCCUUGGUGAUUCAUAAAAUGCAGCUCAACGGGUGCCAUCGCUUUGCGAGUCAAAAAACAUAAACAAGCAACACAAAAUUAAUACCCAUGGUGGCACAGAAAUCUUGAGCUCCAGACUCUGGUUUUCCUGGUCAUAAUGUUAUAAUGUGCUGUCUGUAUCUGCUUUUUGACUUACAAAUUGGUGGCACCUGUUGACUUGAAGUUUAUGAAUCAUCAAGAAACACGACUUCAGUUAAAAAAUCAUCUUUAGUGUUCUACUAAAGAAAGAAAGUAGCUUACAUCUUGGUUGGCUGAAGGGUGAGUAAACGUCAACCUGAAGAACCAGAAAUAAAGUUAAUCCCACAGGAAAAGUGUCUGAAGUACUGCGUCAGCUCUUCAGGAUAUGUGACACUUCAGGAAAUAUUAACAUCCAUGCUGCUGUCAGUGAUGUCCACGAUGAGCUGCUGUCCUCCGUGCUCCCUCCGCCUAUCUGCUUGAGGAUGACUCCAACGUUCUCAAGAUGGGGGAUGUAGAACAAUCUGAUGAACCAGACGCUGAAGAUUUAUCACUUCGUCUCCUCUCCAUUAGUGAAAAUUCAACAGUUGCCAUGUUCUUCUGCUCAGAGAAGACUGAAGUUGCAUUUUGGGUAACAUAAAUAACGAUUUCCCCGUAUUGGCUCGUGCAUUUGUCAUGCUUUUUGGACUAACUUACACCUUGGAUCUAAAUUCCCCAAAAGAGUUGGACAAUACAUUUGACUUUACCUGGAAAGUCUUGAUGGGUCUGGAGGAUGGGAAGCUGAGACCCAGAGCGUUGAGUCUUAAAAAUGGACUUUUGUCAGUAGAGUUUCCUCAGUGUUUUAACAAAGUUACUCCUUUAUUUGACAUUUCAUUUAAACUUUCACUUCUGUCACUUUUAGUGAAUUGUGUAUUUGUAUUUUUUUUUUUUUUUUUUAAACAAUAUUUGUCUAGUAUUUAAUUAGCAGAACAUUUUCUCAGUUGAUUUUCUGGAGUGGUAUACAUUCCAUAUACAGUACCAUGUUCAUCCACUCAUAGAAAUAACAGUUUAAAAAAAAAACAUUGCUCUAUUUUGAAAUUUUUCAAAAUAUAAGUUUCAAAGUAUAAGUUUUAUAUUUCUAAAGUUACUGUUAGAUGUGAAUUUUGGAAGUGUUCCUGUUUUAGGGAAAUGUUUACAGCUGAGUGAUAUCCAGAUAUCCAUAUUGUCCACUUCUAAAAGUGACAGUUACUAUCUCAGCUCAUUUUUCAAGGACCUUGCACUGUUUUGGAGAAUGUAUUUCCAUUUGAUGUUGAACAAUUUAAUGUUGAUGUUUUGUUAAUGA
Onychostoma macrolepis is the source of this 3302-nucleotide long non-coding RNA. RefSeq lists it as uncharacterized. The record is from RefSeq and is a predicted model, not a curated record. NCBI's taxonomy places the organism in Eukaryota, Metazoa, Chordata, Actinopteri, Cypriniformes, Cyprinidae. The transcript is spliced from 3 exons.